UACGAAGGGGGCUAGCGUUGCUCGGAAUUACUGGGCGUAAAGCGCACGUAGGCGGACCGAUAAGUCGGGGGUGAAAUCCUGGAGCUCAACUCCAGAACUGCCUUCGAAACUGCCGGUCUUGAGUUCGGGAGAGGUGAGUGGAACUGCGAGUGUAGAGGUGAAAUUCGUAGAUAUUCGCAAGAACACCAGUGGCGAAGGCGGCUCACUGGCCCGAUACUGACGCUGAGGUGCGAAAGCGUGGGGAGCAAACAGGAUUAGAAACCCGGUAGUCC
This 272-nucleotide ribosomal RNA is filed under the name uncultured prokaryote. Its description in RNAcentral is "partial 16S ribosomal RNA". It matches the Rfam family "Bacterial small subunit ribosomal RNA", at positions 524 to 796 of the family's 1533-position model. The record is from RNAcentral.